CACCCUUCACAUCUCAUAUCCGUCCUAAUCCAACUAUGCUUACAUAUAUACCUCAUCACCACCGGCCUUUAUUACAACCACCUACAACACAGUUUCCUGAACCAAGACAUCCUGUAAACCACCAGCAACAAAAAGAGAAAUUUAAUAAUCAAGAAACAAGAAUGGCUGCAAUUAAGCAAAUACAAGAAAUACCAAGACAACUAAUUGAACUUAUCAAGGAUCGUAAUACGU
This is a non-coding RNA of Paramuricea clavata, 231 nucleotides long. The record is from the annotation of a GenBank genome assembly. NCBI's taxonomy places the organism in Eukaryota, Metazoa, Cnidaria, Anthozoa, Malacalcyonacea, Plexauridae.